Molecule: ribosomal RNA, 236 nt
Filed under: Sphingomonas sp. ISO441_OTU921
Lineage: Bacteria; Pseudomonadati; Pseudomonadota; Alphaproteobacteria; Sphingomonadales; Sphingomonadaceae
Description: partial 16S ribosomal RNA
Rfam family: Bacterial small subunit ribosomal RNA
Source: RNAcentral
AUGAACGCUGGCGGCAUGCCUAACACAUGCAAGUCGAACGAAGUGCCUUCGGGUGCUUAGUGGCGCACGGGUGCGUAACGCGUGGGAAUCUGCCCCUUGGUUCGGAAUAACAGUUGGAAACGACUGCUAAUACCGGAUGAUGACGUAAGUCCAAAGAUUUAUCGCCGAGGGAUGAGCCCGCGUAGGAUUAGGUAGUUGGUGUGGUAAAGGCGCACCAAGCCGACGAUCCUUAGCUG